AUGAUCGCCAAAGUCGACAAGUACUUGUCGGGGUGGCGGGCGCGCCUUCUCUCCCCUGCCGGGCGGCUCGUCCUCAUCAAUGCCGUCCUGGAUGCUCUUCCCACGUACGCUAUGGCGGCUAUGUUGCUCCCUCCGGCGGUGAUCAAGGCCCUAGACUCGCUACGCCGCGCCUUCCUUUGGAACGCGGCUGAACGCGCUUCUGGCGCCCAAUGCUUGGUGGCAUGGGAGAGAGUAUGCCGAUCCAAGGCGGAGGGCGGGUUGGGGGUUCGCGACCUCGCGACGCAAAACCGGUGCCUUCUGAUCAAGAUGCUGCAUCGGCUCCAUGCCUGCUCCGCACCGUCGCGGUGGGCGACGUGGGUCUGGGCCGAGCUCGCGGGACGGUCCCUCCUCUCCGGGUCGGCAGCUUGGACGACCGGGGAGCACGGCAAGGCUCUCAGCGGUCUCCUCCCGCUCUACCGCGGUCUUACGAUGGUGGAAGUCUGUGACGGGAAGCGAACAUCCUUCUGGUUCGAUAAAUGGCUCCCGUGCGGAGCUGUCGCGGCAGCCUUCCCCGCCCUCCUCUCACAGGCGACUGAACCGGAGGUCACGGUGUGA
This 594-nucleotide ribosomal RNA is filed under the name Triticum aestivum (bread wheat). RNAcentral describes it as "partial small subunit ribosomal RNA". Lineage: Eukaryota; Viridiplantae; Streptophyta; Magnoliopsida; Poales; Poaceae. The record is from RNAcentral.